CUCUCUCAAAACUUUAACCGCGUGAGAGGCGUUGGCAAGGGAAAACCGCCCGGUGCAUAGUAAUGUCACUGUCUGGGGAGUGCUUGAUGCUCCGACCCUCGCUAGGGUGGGGUGCUUUAUAAAUAGAUGCGUGUUGGUUGUUGGUUUUUUUUGUUUCCCCAGUGGCGUGCCCCAAGCGUUUGCGUGGUGAUGGGAGAGAAGACUGUUUAUAGCCAUUAUUAAUUAAACUCUGAAUCGGCCAAGGAAAUGGGGGAGGGAGUAGCUGCUGCUACCUCAGCCAGGCCCAAAAUCCUCUGUUCACCCUUCCCCCCUGCUCAGCCCCGAGGGGCUGCCUUGCCACCCCCCACCCUUCGGUCAAGCCGCCUGCAAUGCAGGGGCUGCGCAGCGUGGCCAGACCACCUUCGGCCCUGGGGGAGGUGGGGGGGGUAACAGCUCCUAGCAGCAGCAUCCCACAUCAGGUUCGAACCCGCUCCGCCCCCCUUCCUAUUUCCCUCCUUUUCUCAGCCCCGACCCGGUACCGGCUGCUGCCGCCGGGGAUGGCGCCUGCCUCCUCACCAGGGCUACCGAGGAGCCCUCACCCCCUCUGGGACUGCCCCCUCCCGCCGCGUCCGCCCCCACAUGUUUACAGGCCCCAUGGCCCAGGCGGCGGUGGACGCGGCCCCCUCCAGCCCCGCCGCCACCCCCCACCCGCCUCAUCCCGGCCCGCCGGAGACCCCGCACUGCGCAGUGGUACUUACCCCCCGGCCGCGGUGGACGGCGCAGGCUGUGGCGGGCAGGGCCGCGCUCCCGAAGCUCAACAAAGAUGGUUUUCCAAGUCUCUCUUCAUCUUGGGGCUCCUCCAAUGCACUGUCUCCAGUAUGUUGAAGAAUCUACUUACCCAGAAAAGGUACCAGGAGAAUUGCUUAAAUAACUUUGAUUUACAUACUUGUAGCUAGUAUUUUGCCAGUUGCUGUGACAUAUAACAUGAUUUUUAACCUCAUUAGAAAACUCAGCUAUGCAAAAUAAAACAUUACUAUGUUUUGCAACUCUCCUGAACCUCUUUGUGUUGACACCUGUGCUACCAUACACAGAAAACCGUAUGGAUCCUCAACAAAGGCUGCUUUCACUGAGGCUUAAUGUCAAGUAAAAGUUGGCUUCAGAAAGCGGAAUAGGUGAAAUGCUUCUCAAAACACAUACACAUCUUGGGUUUGUGUUCCUGUAGAUUUUAAACAAAACUUCUUGCAGCAUACCAUCCUACACACCUUGAAGAAGAAUAGGGCUUUCCUGACAGACCUAUAUCUCCUGUCCUGGGCAGUGCAGGAGACUUGCUUAGAUGCUGGUAGUAUUGAGAACGGUCUUAGAGCUGCCUUUUGUUGGUUUUAGUAUCAGAAAGAGACUGUUAGGGUACCAGGUGCACCAAACUUUCCCUCUCCCAAUAUCAGCAUGUCCUACCCUUCAGCCAAUUAAGAAAGCACUAGGCUCUAAUUUACCUUUCUGACACUUGGGAUUUUCUGAGAUGAAUAAUUAGAUCAGCUUUCUGUUUUAUUGACCUUCAGAUCAUCUAGUUCCAACC
Molecule: long non-coding RNA, 1552 nt
Organism: Neopsephotus bourkii (Bourke's parrot)
Lineage: Eukaryota; Metazoa; Chordata; Aves; Psittaciformes; Psittacidae
Exons: 3
Source: RefSeq, a predicted model, not a curated record